UUAAUAAUAUUCUUAUUUAAAAUAUAAUUAUUUUAAUAUUUGGUCCUUUCGUACUAAAAUAUUAUAAUUUUUUAAAGAUAGAAACCAACCUGGCUUACGCCGGUUUGAACUCAGAUCAUGUAAGAAUUUAAAAGUCGAACAGACUUAAAAUUUGAGCGGCUACACCCAAAAUUAUAUCUUAAUCCAACAUCGAGGUCGCAAUCUUUUUUAUCGAUAUGAACUCUCCAAAAAAAUUACGCUGUUAUCCCUAAAGUAACUUAAAUUUUUAAUCAUUACUAAUGGAUCAAUUAUUCAUAAAUCAAUGGUUUUAAAAAUUAAAAGUUUUUUAAAUUUUAAUAUCACCCCAAUAAAAUAUUUUAAUUUAUAAUAAUAAAACUAAUCUUUACAAUUAAAAUAAAUAAAAUAUAAAGAUUUAUAGGGUCUUCUCGUCUUUUAAAUUUAUUUUAGCUUUUUGACUAAAAAAUAAAAUUCUAUAAAAAAUUCAAAUGAAAC
Molecule: ribosomal RNA, 492 nt
Filed under: Drosophila heteroneura
Lineage: Eukaryota; Metazoa; Arthropoda; Insecta; Diptera; Drosophilidae
Also listed under: 1 other name
Description: partial 16S ribosomal RNA
Source: RNAcentral